UCCAUUUUACCCAUCCAACCUCUGCCACAAAAAGAAACAGCUACCAGAUUUAUAUAGUUUCUUGAACUAAAGUUUAGGGGUGAAGGAAGAUGAGUAACAGAGUAUGGGACAGCUGUAUGUUUACACCAGAUUUCUCUUAGUUCUCUUAAAGCAUUGGAAAUACUAGUAGAAACACGUAUCUAGACCACCCUAGAAUGGCAGUGGCAAAGGACAAAGAAAAACACAUCUGAGUAAUCCUCACAAUCCUGGAGAAGGAAAAACGAAGGCUCAGAAGCAUACCUUUCACCAUCUAAAGGAAAGAAUGAUGGUGCAAAUCAGCAGAAGACAGGUUUUGUGAUGGAAAUGAAAGGGCUCAGAAUUACAAGGGAUUGAACUUCAGGUUUCAAAAGCCAGAACCAAGAAGAGCUCAAGGAAAGUUGAUGACUCAGAAAUGGAAUUAUCUUGCCCCUAGAGAAGAUGGAGAGAGGAAAGUGGGAGGGAAGCAAAGAACUCUGGUGGGUCCUUGAAGAAGUUCCCUAGGUAGUGCAUUCUCCAAGGCCAUUGUGUCCAGGAUGAAGGAUAAUUCCACCCCGAAGAGAUUUGGGAAUCUAAAACAAAGAGUAUUGGAAGGAGACACAAAAUACCUUCAACACAGUGGCAGCAGAGGGGUGGAAUCCUCUGGCUGUUUGGUGUGCCCUUUAGAUGGAGGUGAGUCACAUUCUCAGGAUUUGUAGUCACCCUACCAAAACUGGGAAAGCCUGCAAGAGCUUUCAGAACCUUCAAGAGCUAUAUAGACAAGCAUCAAGAGACAGCAGGUGGAAACAUGGAAGGAUAGACCUGUAAAGAACAAUGACACAGAGCAAAUGGGAUGAGAGAUGUGACAAUAAAUGUCAGCUUAAUUAGAUAACAAUACCAAAGACUAGAUGUUCCUGGUUCAUCUGUCACUGCAUGUAUCCCCUGAAUCUAAGGAGGUGGGAGGGGGAUGGAUCCUGAUUUAACAGAGCUUAAGAUUCUGGCACUUGAUGUAAUAAGGUUAAUAAAAAAAAUUUAACUUCA
Long non-coding RNA from Suricata suricatta (meerkat), 1035 nucleotides. RefSeq lists it as uncharacterized. NCBI's taxonomy places the organism in Eukaryota, Metazoa, Chordata, Mammalia, Carnivora, Herpestidae. The transcript has 2 exons. The record is from RefSeq and is a predicted model, not a curated record.